GAUGAACGCUGGCGGCGUGCCUAAUACAUGCAAGUCGAGCGAACGGACGAGAAGCUUGCUUCUCUGAUGUUAGCGGCGGACGGGUGAGUAACACGUGGAUAACCUACCUAUAAGACUGGGAUAACUUCGGGAAACCGGAGCUAAUACCGGAUAAUAUUUUGAACCGCAUGGUUCAAAAGUGAAAGACGGUCUUGCUGUCACUUAUAGAUGGAUCCGCGCUGCAUUAGCUAGUUGGUAAGGUAACGGCUUACCAAGGCAACGAUGCAUAGCCGACCUGAGAGGGUGAUCGGCCACCUUGGAACUGGGACACGGUCCAGACUCCUACGGGAGGCAGCAGUAGGGAAUCUUCCGCAAUGGGCGAAAGCCUGACGGAGCAACGGCGCGUGAGUGAUGAAGGUCUUCGGAUCGUAAAACUCUGUUAUUAGGGAAGAACAUAUGUGGAAGUAACUGUGCACAGCUUGACGGUACCUAAUCAGAAAGCCACGGCUAACUACGUG
This 497-nucleotide ribosomal RNA is filed under the name uncultured bacterium. RNAcentral describes it as "partial 16S ribosomal RNA". It matches the Rfam family "Bacterial small subunit ribosomal RNA", at positions 28 to 507 of the family's 1533-position model. The record is from RNAcentral.